Molecule: long non-coding RNA, 3261 nt
Organism: Papaver somniferum (opium poppy)
Lineage: Eukaryota; Viridiplantae; Streptophyta; Magnoliopsida; Ranunculales; Papaveraceae
Exons: 8
Source: RefSeq, a predicted model, not a curated record
GUAGCCGCUAGAAACUCUUUUUUAGUAUGCAGAAUAAAAUAACCCAUUCCCUUGCGAUUGAUGCCAACGUUUGGUGUUUCGGCUUUGAUUGCAAACCGUAACCGCCAAAAAUCCAAGUACAGUAAAUUAUUUGCCUUCUUUAUUAACGCCUAAUUUCUCUUUUGCAGUGUGUCCCAUGAGAAAACGAACUUCCAGGAUCAAGACUGGUGGUUAUACGGGACUGGACGCCAGUUUGCUACGCGCGGCUUCCCACCUUCCUUCCUUGUCUGGGACAGUAUUUCUCCUACUUUCCUACUUAAAGUAAUCUCCAAUCGCAAUGACUCUUAGGAUUUUUUUGUUUUUUGUUUUGAGACAUUGAAAGCCAUAAAAUUUUAAAACUAUGGAAAGAAGAGUAUGGCUCACGACCUGUUUGAUAAAAAGUCUUAGUGACCACUCCUGUUUCUUGCAUCAUCUUUCCAAAUCUCAUCCUUUCUGACGCGUGUCUCUAGCAAUAACCUUCAUACCAAGAUUAUACGCAAUUGCAGCAGUAUCCUUGGUAGUUCGACGUUGUCCUUGGAGUUGGCAGUAACAAAAGUUUGUAUAUCUAGAUGACAAUUUUCGAUCCACCGUGAAUCCUCUGCUUUGAUUUCUCGUGCAAGGAUCUGCCCUUGGUAGCUUAAUCUUGCUUUGCCACUUCACUUGGACUGGAACGACAACACCACGUCAACCAAUUUGUACAUGUCAGUUGUCCUUGCUUGAGAUUGGGUUGGUUGAUCAUUCUGUUUGUUUUCGAACUUGAGAAAUCUCCAAUGGGUGGCACACGUUAUAAAAGCCCAUUAGCCUCCGCUUCUCAUCCACUCACGUCCAUAUCAACUUGUGGAAAGUAUAGCUGUCAACACUAGAAAUGCGACAACUUGUGAAACUCUCAAAGUUCUAGUCCGUGUCAAAUAUGUAUUUCCUUUCUUUUACGGUGGUUAAUCUCAUUCUAAAUGAGCGUCUUCGCCACCUCCUUUCACUGCCCACAACGGAAGUUUGCUACCACCUCAGGUACAUUCUUUCCGUUUUCAGAAAUGAUCAUCACUAGUACAUCGAAUCUGCAAGUUUUUGCAGAUGUCUAUCGCCCCUAUUCUUACAAAUGCUACUGCUUCUACCCAUUUAGUGAAGUAGUAAGUUGCAGCUAACAAAUACUUGACGCCCCCCAGUGCAGCUGGAAACGAACCUACAAUAUCCAAUCCUCACUUGUUGAACGUCCACGGUCUCACAACCAGAUGCAACUCAUUCGCUGGUCUCUUUAUAAGAGGGCCAUGCAGCUGAAAAGCCAAGCAUUUUCUUAUAUAGUCCUUGCGUCACUCUGCAUAUAAGGCCAGAAGUGCUAUUGAGAUAAAAGCCUAUGCGCUAGACUCCUGCCUUCAAAAUGAUCCUCACAGCACCCUUCAUGUGCCUCAGCGAAGAAUUGCUUCCCUCCCUCUCUAGUAACACAAGGAAGAUGAAUUUGUGGACGUGUUACCGCCUCCAUCCUCAACAAAGCUACUACCUGAAGCCAUUUGGUGAUGCAGUCAAUUGCAUCUAGCAAGUAGUGCACGCCCCCAGGUGCAGUGCAGUCUUUAGUCCAGAGACUAUUGCUUCAUACUCCGAUUGAUUAUUUAAAGCUGCAAAUCUUAGUUGGACAGCUUUUUCUCCUGGGAAACUAGUACACAACCAACGCUUGUACCAUCCGUGUUUGCUGAUCCGUUGCUCCCGUAUCUUGUUAGGCACAUUGACUGCCCAUAUGUUCCCGUACUUGCCUAGAAUUUGCCGACUCAACGCUUUUGUGUCUGCGAAUUACGACAAUCUCUGGUGUACAGGUGAAGAUUUACCUUCCCAGGCGUUCGUUCCUAAGUGGCUAUGUUCUUCUCUCUGAACGGUCUUUCUCAUGCCUGGAUAUUUUUGAGUGGUCCCUGAUGACGUGAUUGUCCCUAUGUCUGCGCCUUUCGUGUUCGGCCCAGAUCGCCUAUCUUGGUCAAUUGUGUAAUAAUGACCAUCAUAAGGUAUAUAACGAUCAUAAUAAUCGUUGUUAUGAGGAUCAAAACUGUGUUGUCGAUCAAUUCUGACACUUUCGAUUAUUCUUUACGGCAUGCGGUGUCACACUCUUGGCGUGUACGACGGUUUGACAUGCUGCUUUCGGAGCAUGAGACGGCUACUUCUUCAAGUUCUUAUUUUUUUUAUUGUGUUUCUGAGUUGCUUGUUUUUCUUUUCCAACUCUUGGUAACGUUCACGUAGUGCCAAAUCGAUAAGCAUCACUUGUGGAUUAUUAACUUGUACUAUAUGUGGAGAUGACGCACACCUCUACUAGCAAUAGUUUCAAUAUGAAUACCCUGAGUGCUUGGGUGCUGAUUUCCAACUUUUUCCCUGACGAUUGAGGUUUCUCUACUGGUACGAGGAGGUGUUUUACGUACCAAAGUAUUGUUUCCCGUGAAAUUUGGACAUGUUCUAACAGAAUGAGCAACUGAUGUUGUUGAUGAAAGUGAUGUCUCCACUCCAUUCUUGUAAGUCUGGACGACAUCGCUUCGUAUUGUUCGAUUGAUGACGCCUUGAGAAGGACGAUUUCGGCUUUUCGUAACACCAAUAUUACAACAAAAAACAAGUGUGAUAACUGUUGUUGUUUCUGGAAACUGUUGUUGUUUCUGAGAAGAUCUGCAACGCUUGAUUGGCUGUCGCUGGUUCUGAAAACAAUUGUUGUUUCUGAGAAGAUCUGCAACACUUGACUGGCUGUUGCUGUUUCUGGAACUGUUGCAGAAACUUCUCUUCUAAAAAAAACUUGGGAAAACAACUUUUUUCUCAAGGGGAGCACGAUCUUUUUGCUCGUAGUCCCCUUAGUCGGCGCCAAAAGAUGUUGGUGCAAAAAUAUUCACCUAACACUCUUCGAGAUAUGUGUAGAUGGAUUAAAUCUCCGUCGUUGAUUUGAUUCCACCAAAGAUGCUGAAGAAAUUGUGAUUGAUGUAGAUUGAUCGAUCUCCAGCUACUGACUCAAAUCCAUAAAAGAUUGCUGAUGUGAAUGAUGUUGAAUGGUGGGAGUACCUGCAAAAAACACUCCGAUGCUAAAGUCAGAGAGAGUUUCUUCACAGGUAUAUUGUGUGGAAAGGAUUAGAAAAUUUGUACCUUUUGAGUUAGGAUUUAGCCUCUAUUUAUAGGCAGAAAGUAGGUCUAGCUUUAGGGUUUUCAUAGUUAUCUUAAUAACUUCUCUUACCUGUACAAAUCCAAGAAAACAACCAGAUCCAUAAUAAAGUUUUUUAUUUAUCAUAA